GACGAACGCUGGCGGCGUGCCUAAUACAUGCAAGUAGAACGCUGAAGAGAGGAGCUUGCUCUUCUUGGAUGAGUUGCGAACGGGUGAGUAACGCGUAGGUAGCCUGCCUUGUAGCGGGGGAUAACUAUUGGAAACGAUAGCUAAUACCGCAUAACAAUGGAUGACACAUGUCAUUUAUUUGAAAGGGGCAAUUGCUCCACUACAAGAUGGACCUGCGUUGUAUUAGCUAGUAGGUGAGGUAACGGCUCACCUAGGCGACGAUACAUAGCCGACCUGAGAGGGUGAUCGGCCACACUGGGACUGAGACACGGCCCAGACUCCUACGGGAGGCAGCAGUAGGGAAUCUUCGGCAAUGGGGGCAACCCUGACCGAGCAACGCCGCGUGAGUGAAGAAGGUUUUCGGAUCGUAAAGCUCUGUUGUAAGUCAAGAACGAGUGUGAGAGUGGAAAGUUCACACUGUGACGGUAGCUUACCAGAAAGGGACGGCUAACUACGUG
RNAcentral lists this ribosomal RNA (497 nucleotides) under uncultured bacterium. RNAcentral's name for it is "partial 16S ribosomal RNA". It matches the Rfam family "Bacterial small subunit ribosomal RNA", at positions 28 to 507 of the family's 1533-position model. The record is from RNAcentral.